This 497-nucleotide ribosomal RNA is filed under the name uncultured bacterium. Its description in RNAcentral is "partial 16S ribosomal RNA". It matches the Rfam family "Bacterial small subunit ribosomal RNA", at positions 28 to 507 of the family's 1533-position model. The record is from RNAcentral.
GAUGAACGCUGGCGGCGUGCCUAAUACAUGCAAGUCGAGCGAACAGAUGAGGAGCUUGCUCCUCUGACGUUAGCGGCGGACGGGUGAGUAACACGUGGAUAACCUACCUAUAAGACUGGGAUAACUUCGGGAAACCGGAGCUAAUACCGGAUAAUAUAUUGAACCGCAUGGUUCAAUAGUGAAAGACGGUUUUGCUGUCACUUAUAGAUGGAUCCGCGCCGCAUUAGCUAGUUGGUAAGGUAACGGCUUACCAAGGCAACGAUGCGUAGCCGACCUGGGAGGGUGAUCGGCCACACUGGAACUGAGACACGGUCCAGACUCCUACGGGAGGCAGCAGUAGGGAAUCUUCCGCUAUGGGCGAAAGCCUGACGGAGCAACGCCGCGUGAGUGAUGAAGGUCUUCGGAUCGUAAAACUCUGUUAUUAGGGAAGAACAAAUGUGUAAGUAACUAUGCACGUCUUGACGGUACCUAAUCAGAAAGCCACGGCUAACUACGUG